AUUGAACGCUGGCGGCAUGCUUUACACAUGCAAGUCGAACGGCAGCGCGGGCUUCGGCCUGGCGGCGAGUGGCGAACGGGUGAGUAAUACAUCGGAACGUGCCCAGUAGUGGGGGAUAGCUCGGCGAAAGCCGGAUUAAUACCGCAUACGACCUGAGGGUGAAAGCGGGGGAUCUUCGGACCUCUCGCUAUUGGAGCGGCCGAUGGCAGAUUAGCUAGUUGGUGGGGUAAAGGCCUACCAAGGCGACGAUCUGUAGCUGGUCUGAGAGGACGACCAGCCACACUGGGACUGAGACACGGCCCAGACUCCCACGGGAGGCAGCAGUGGGGAAUUUUGGACAAUGGGCGAAAGCCUGAUCCAGCAAUGCCGCGUGUGUGAUGAAGGCCUUCGGGUUGUAAAGCACUUUUGGCGGGAACGAAAAGGACUGUGCCAAUACCACGGUUCGAUGACGGUACCCGCAGAAUAAGCACCGGCUAACUACGUG
Molecule: ribosomal RNA, 484 nt
Filed under: uncultured bacterium
Lineage: Bacteria
Description: partial 16S ribosomal RNA
Rfam family: Bacterial small subunit ribosomal RNA
Source: RNAcentral